GACGAACGCUGGCGGCGUGCUUAACACAUGCAAGUCGAACGGAAAGGCCCUGCUUUUGUGGGGUGCUCGAGUGGCGAACGGGUGAGUAACACGUGAGUAACCUGCCCUUGACUUUGGGAUAACUUCAGGAAACUGGGGCUAAUACCGGAUAGGAGCUCCUGCUGCAUGGUGGGGGUUGGAAAGUUUCGGCGGUUGGGGAUGGACUCGCGGCUUAUCAGCUUGUUGGUGGGGUAGUGGCUUACCAAGGCUUUGACGGGUAGCUGGCCUGAGAGGGUGACCGGCCACAUUGGGACUGAGAUACGGCCCAGACUCCUACGGGAGGCAGCAGUGGGGAAUAUUGCACAAUGGGCGGAAGCCUGAUGCAGCAACGCCGCGUGCGGGAUGACGGCCUUCGGGUUGUAAACCGCUUUCGCCUGUGACGAAGCGUGAGUGACGGUAAUGGGUAAAGAAGCACCGGCUAACUACGUGCCAGCAGCCGCGGUGAUACGUAGGGUGCGAGCGUUGUCCGGAUUUAUUGGGCGUAAAGGGCUCGUAGGUGGUUGAUCGCGUCGGAAGUGUAAUCUUGGGGCUUAACCCUGAGCGUGCUUUCGAUACGGGUUGACUUGAGGAAGAUAGGGGAGAAUGGAAUUCCUGGUGGAGCGGUGGAAUGCGCAGAUAUCAGGAGGAACACCAGUGGCGAAGGCGGUUCUCUGGGCCUUUCCUGACGCUGAGGAGCGAAAGCGUGGGGAGCGAACAGGCUUAGAUACCCUGGUAGUCCACGCUGUAAACGGUGGGUACUAGGUGUGGGGUCCAUUCCACGGGUUCCGUGCCGUAGCUAACGCUUUAAGUACCCCGCCUGGGGAGUACGGCCGCAAGGCUAAAACUCAAAGGAAUUGACGGGGCCCCGCACAAGCGGCGGAGCAUGCGGAUUAAUUCGAUGCAACGCGUAGAACCUUACCUGGGUUUGACAUGGAUCGGGAGUGCUCAGAGAUGGGUGUGCCUCUUUUGGGGUCGGUUCACAGGUGGUGCAUGGCUGUCGUCAGCUCGUGUCGUGAGAUGUUGGGUUAAGUCCCGCAACGAGCGCAACCCUUGUUCACUGUUGCCAGCACGUUAUGGUGGGGACUCAGUGGAGACCGCCGGGGUCAACUCGGAGGAAGGUGGGGAUGACGUCAAGUCAUCAUGCCCCUUAUGUCCAGGGCUUCACGCAUGCUACAAUGGCUGGUACAGAGAGUGGCGAGCCUGUGAGGGUGAGCGAAUCUCGGAAAGCCGGUCUCAGUUCGGAUUGGGGUCUGCAACUCGACCUCAUGAAGUCGGAGUCGCUAGUAAUCGCAGAUCAGCAACGCUGCGGUGAAUACGUUCCCGGG
RNAcentral lists this ribosomal RNA (1343 nucleotides) under uncultured bacterium. RNAcentral's name for it is "16S ribosomal RNA". It matches the Rfam family "Bacterial small subunit ribosomal RNA", at positions 28 to 1378 of the family's 1533-position model. The record is from RNAcentral.